GGCCUUAGUGGCGCACGGGUGCGUAACGCGUGGGAAUCUACCCUUAGGUUCGGAAUAACUCACCGAAAGGUGUGCUAAUACCGGAUAAUGUCUUCGGACCAAAGAUUUAUCGCCUUUGGAUGAGCCCGCGUUGGAUUAGCUAGUUGGUAGGGUAAAGGCCUACCAAGGCGACGAUCCAUAGCUGGUCUGAGAGGAUGAUCAGCCACACUGGGACUGAGACACGGCCCAGACUCCUACGGGAGGCAGCAGUGGGGAAUAUUGGACAAUGGGCGCAAGCCUGAUCCAGCGACGCCGCGUGAGUGAUGAAGGCCUUUGGGUCGUAAAGCUCUGUCAGCAGGGAAGAACGGCCCUACGGUUAAUACCCGUAGGGAUUGACGGUACCUGCAGAGGAAGCACCGGCUAACUCCGUGCCAGCAGCCGCGGUAAUACGGAGGGUGCGAGCGUUAAUCGGAAUUACUGGGCGUAAAGGGCGCGUAGGCGGCUGAUCAAGUCAGAUGUGAAAGCCCACGGCUUAACCGUGUGAAGUGCAUCUGAAACUGGUCGGCUUGAGUAUCGGAGAGGAAAGUGGAAUUCCCGGUGUAGAGGUGAAAUUCGUAGAUAUCGGGAGGAAUACCGGUGGCGAAGGCGACU
This 630-nucleotide ribosomal RNA is filed under the name uncultured bacterium. Its description in RNAcentral is "bacterial SSU rRNA". It matches the Rfam family "Bacterial small subunit ribosomal RNA", at positions 88 to 726 of the family's 1533-position model. The record is from RNAcentral.